Molecule: ribosomal RNA, 468 nt
Filed under: uncultured bacterium
Lineage: Bacteria
Description: partial 16S ribosomal RNA
Rfam family: Bacterial small subunit ribosomal RNA
Source: RNAcentral
GACGAACGCUGGCGGCGUGCUUAACACAUGCAAGUCGAACGGAAAGGCCCUGCUUUUGUGGGGUGCUCGAGUGGCGAACGGGUGAGUAACACGUGAGUAACCUGCCCUUGACUUUGGGAUAACUUCAGGAAACUGGGGCUAAUACCGGAUAGGAGCUCCUGCUGCAUGGUGGGGGUUGGAAAGUUUCGGCGGUUGGGGAUGGACUCGCGGCUUAUCAGCUUGUUGGUGGGGUAGUGGCUUACCAAGGCUUUGACGGGUAGCCGGCCUGAGAGGGUGACCGGCCACAAUGGGACUGAGAUACGGCGCAGACGCCUACGGGAGGCAGCAGUGGGGAAUAUGGCACAAUGGGCGGAAGCCUGAUGCAGCAACGCCGCGUGCGGGAUGACGGCCUUCGGGUUGUAAACCGCUUUCGCCUGUGACGAAGCGUGAGUGACGGUAAUGGGUAAAGAAGCACCGGCUAACUACGUG